UGUUUUUUGGCGAGAAAAUUACG
Molecule: small nuclear RNA, 23 nt
Filed under: Arabidopsis thaliana (thale cress)
Lineage: Eukaryota; Viridiplantae; Streptophyta; Magnoliopsida; Brassicales; Brassicaceae
Description: snRNA_05170
Source: RNAcentral